Long non-coding RNA from Cyprinus carpio carpio, 2622 nucleotides. The record is from Ensembl. NCBI's taxonomy places the organism in Eukaryota, Metazoa, Chordata, Actinopteri, Cypriniformes, Cyprinidae.
UAUAUAUAUAUAUAUAUAUAUAUAUAUAUAUAUAUAUAUACACACUGUAUCUCACCACAUAUGAUACUUUUAGUAAUACUAUUGCAGGUUUUGUAUUCAUACAAAUAUGAAAUUCCUAAAGGAGUUUAAUGGGCUGAUCACAGUGCAGUUUGUCUUUCUGUCAUGUUCAGUGUCCGUCCAAACAUCCUUAAAAAAAGAGAUUCGGAUUCAUGGCAAAUCCAAGGACAGCAGUGAACACAGUGGCCAUCAGAGAUCUCUGUAGGUUGUGGAUCCGUUCAUCGUCACUACAUGCUAACCUUGCAGCCCACGCCGCCCAUCUGUCGAAAGGGAACACAGCGUGGCUGCUGCAACCUCUCAUUUGAAUUAUUCAGACUUGUAAGCAACUUUGUGCUCCCUGGGAAGGUGUGGGCUGGAGAAAAAUGGCUGGACGUCAUCUGAGGUCAGGUGUGCAAAUGGCUUCAUCUGAGGAGUCCUGCUGCCUAACGGGAAGAAAGAUCAGUUCAAGAGAAAGGUUUUUUGAAGCAGUUCGUUGGGACGAAUAGCCUACUGCAAAAUAUGCUUGUAAAGAAUAAAAUUAUGCUUAAGUUACAAAGCAAAAUACAACAAAUGCUACUGAAGGUGGGUUAACAUUUUAAUGAACAAUUACUUAAGGAUAUUCCUGUCUGACAUAUUUAUCAUUCCAUUCAUUUUGAUGGACAGUUCAUUAUUUGCUUGGUCACCCGUCUUCUGAUAUCAACACCAUAAAGUUUGUUCCUGAACCCAAAGUAUAGAGAAUAAAUGGCCUUUGUUGAGGAAAGCAUUUUUUCCAAAAGGUCAUCAUGCUGGUUUCUAAAAUACCUCAUUUUGGUAGCAUCUAACACAGCAUUGCAUACAUGAUUCAUGGAUAAGACAGAUCCAGAAUGCACUGUGACAAACUCAGUAAGUAAGUAAGUAAAUUAUUUAUUUAUUUUUAUUUAUUUUUGGGUGAUUCAUUAUUUAUUAUAGCUCUUGAAAGCAAUUACUGUUCUGUACUACAAUAAGAAACACUUUGAGGACAUUGUAAACACACUUUCCACAUAAGAGAGAGAGAGAGAGAGAGAGAGAGAGAAAGUAGCCUUAUUCGUUCAAAGAAAUGCAUGGUGCUUCAAAAAUGUCAUGCAAUUUGUAUACAAAAAAAAAUAAAAAUAAAAAUAAAAACACACAACAAAUGGACUGACGUAAUUAUGUGGAAGAACAGGCUGUGAUAUAUUGUAGAAGAGUUUAGCAAGCUGUUGGGUAGCUGAAUAACAUAUUGCCUUGACCCGUCCUGUAAAUCAGAUGUGAGUGAAGGAACUCUACUGGGUUUUGGCCCUGCUUCUAAUCUAUUAGAAACGUCUGUUGAAUGAAAACAGGAUGAGUGGUUGCUCAUGGGACUCUUCCAUAUGACACAUCUGUUCCAAAGAUUAUCCAUAUUCGACCAUAUGGUUCAGCACAGAGAGCCGGAUCUGCUACUGUAUUAGAGCACCUGAAGGGCAGCAGAAGCUCUCGGUGUCUCAACAUUAAACCUGCACGUCCGUUCAGCAGGCUUCAUGUCAUAUAAUGUGCGCAACAAAUAACAAUACAAAUAUCUAUAUGGCUAUACAUAACCAGUUAGAAGUUUGGAAUAAAUAAAUUAAAUGGAAUAAUUUUUAAUGUUUUUGAAAGAAGUCUCUUCUGCUCAUCAAGGCUGCGUUUAUUUUUAUUUUUUAUUUUUUCUAUGAAAUAUACAGCAAAAAGCCAUAUUGUGGAAUAUUAUUACGUUCUAUUUUAAUUUAUUUUAAAAUGUAAUUCAUUCCAGUGACUGCUCAAAAAGUGAUAACAAUCAGAAAUGUUUCUUUAGCAGCAAAUCAGCAUAUUAGAAUGGUUUCUGAAGGAUGAUGUGACACCGAAGACACAGAUAUAUUUGAUUUUCUAUAUUUUGUAAAGGGGAGAGCGGGAUACAACCUAACUUUUUUCUCAGUGUGUGUAAAUCCACAUGGGGAUCAGAGUAUAUAUAUAUAUAUAUAUAUAUAUAUAUAUAUAUAUAUAUAUAUAUAUAUAUAUAUAUAUAUAUAUAUAUAUAUAUAUAUAUAUAUAUAUUAAUCCACAGUAAUUUCACACUUCUCUAGUACAAAUGUCACUUUUUUUUUCUAUAUUUGCAUUGUAGAUCUUUUUCUUUAUUUACCCACAGAAAAUGUAAGUAAAAUGUGUCAACAUACGCCUACAAGACAAACUAAAAUAUUUUUUCAAUUAAAUAAAAUUAACUUUUUGAAAUAACAAAAUGGCAUUUUUUUUUUUUUUUUUUUUUUUAAGAAUAAAAAUAAUCUGAUUUUGGAGGUUGACAGUGAACACAUUUGCAACCAUGCUUGGGACAGCCCACAUAAAUGAGCCAAAAUGCUUAUCAUUUCUUGAAAUAAUAAUUUCUGAACAUUAAACAUUGACUGUCAGUCUUUAUUCACCUGUUUCUCAUUAAAAUUGAUUAAAGUAAAUGGUGUAAUUUGCAUCGCUAAUGGCAUAGCAUAGUGUAUUUAUAGUGGACCACUUUGUAACGCAGUGUUACAACGUUUCCCAUCUGCAUAACUAUAAUUUAAAACUGGUUAGUGUCUUCUGCUAGUUAGCGACAGAAUUUUUACAGCCAGAAAUUAA